GUAGCAUAUUUUCUUUAUUUACUCCAUGAAAGCAUUCCAGACGACUUCACAUAACUGAUUCGGUUUAGAUUUGUUUCUAUAUGAAAGCCAUCGAAAGGAUCAACAUUUCCAAUUCGCACUCCUACUUUUUUUCCCCUUUUUUCUCAUGAUCCUCUGCGGACGCCGUCGCCGUUACAAUCCCAUAUCUAAGCAUUCUGCAGUAGAGAGAGACUGAUGGUCAUUUUCGGAGAAGGAUUCAAGAGUUUCACCACUGAGCCAUGAAAUCAAAAGUAACAGCUGAUGUAGUGCGGCGCCAGCAACAGAGCUGGAAACCCAUAUUGAGAUGGGGGAGGGUGGGAGUCCUUUCCUUCUCUUAAAAGCUGUGCUUUUAAAAGUCGUCGCAAUUCACGACUUUAUGAAUGUUUUGGAUGUCGGUUGGAACAAAUCCCUCUGUCUCACAUCAACUCUCCACGCACAUCUUCUUACGCCCCACCCCCUCCCUGGCGCCGAUUGGCUGCGCCUCUCUACUACUGCUGUUGGUCUGGCGGCACGUGCAGCCGUCCCGAACUCCUGAUUGGGCGGCAGUGCAGGCACUCGCAGGCAGCGCAUCAAAUGAUCUCCAAUAGUUAUUUGGCUUGUGCACUUGUGUGAGGAAAAGACAAAUCCUUGAGCACAGGGUCAGGGAUCAGAUAAAAAAAUGAUUUAUCUUAUACAAAAAAGAAAUUCCAAUUGCCUGGGACUGCCUGGGAUUUUAUUUGGUUAGUCGUCAUAUUGUGUUAUUAUUUAGCAAUACACAUAUUGUUGGUUUCGCACUUAAAUAUGUAAUGAGCACAUUGAGUACCCUUAUGCUGAAAUGAUUAUGAAUGCAUUUCGUUGUAUAAUGACAAAAAAGAUUAACCUUGUAGGAUGUAACAAGCACGGGCAUUGUAUAAACAUUACUGUAGGCUGAGUAAACUGAAAAAAUACUAUGACAGAUAAACUCGGUUCAGAAGGGGUUUAGGGUUAAUGGAAAUCACUUUUGAACUAAGAAAUCAUUACAAGUAGAACUAAAAUACUAUUUUAAGCAAAUUGUACUUUGAAAGCUAGUGUAACAAUUGCAAAUGCAGGCUGUUUGACAGUAACUAUUUUACAUCUCUUUAGGUCUUUGAGGGAAUGCAUUUUGUUGCUCCUCUCUGAACUAAUUCAGAGCAGCAAUUUAUUUUCGUGCCUCCUUGUCACCACAGUUGGACAUACUAUUCUGAAAUCUUACUAGAGCAUUGUACAAAUCACUUUCCUCGAUUUGAAUUCUUCACUUUUAAUGUGUUGAAAUAUUCUGUUUUUGCCUUUUCGCUUUGCUUCCCCACUGUGUCUAGAAUAUGAAAAUGAUGUGUCUAAAUCUUUUUCAUAAGUCGCUUCUUCAAGUUUCAUCUUUCCCAUUUUAUACUUAAGAACCUGCAGGCAACAGCCUACAUUUGUCUACAUCUGACAGACGUUGGCCUAGUCAUGAAUAUAGUUUAAGUCUUUUUCAGAUUUGACAGCGUUUGCUAAUCCUUGUAAUUUGGUAUUAUCUUCUAACCAGACACAUUUACUAGCUAUACCAGAACCUAGACCGUUGAUAUCAAAUCAAAAGGGGUUCUAAUACAGUUCUCUGGGGCACACCACUAAUUACAUCACCUCAGAUUGACUAUUUUCCCCUUACCUUUGCUCUCUGCUUCCUAUCUCCUAACCAUUUCAUAAUCCAAGUGAAGAAGUAAUAGGUUUAUUCCAUGCUGAAAAGAGAAGAGAGAAAACUUAAUGUUAUGUUUCUCUCUUCUCUUUUCAGCAUGGAAUAAACCUAUUACUUCUUCCUUUGCAGACUACGUAUGCUGAUGCAGCUACCCAUCUGAACUAUAGAAUCCAAGUGCAUGCAUUACCUUGAAUGUCUACUGUCUGUAUUUUGAGAAUUAAUUGUUUACAAAGAACUUAAUGGAAUUCCUUCUGGAAAACUAAAUAUACCUGUAUAUAUAAUCCAUUAAUCUAGACAUAAUCCACUCUGUACACAUAUCCACUAUGUCUGCUUGUUUAAAUUACUCUUAACUCUUCAGUUAGUUAAAGAAGACCUACAUUGUCUCAAUUAAUUAAAUUUAUACUGUAUACUGAAUCAUAUUCCUAUACAAAUGAUCCUUUUAAUGCCUUGACACCACCAUAAUUCUCUGUUAAAUGUACAUGGUAAAGCUAAAUGCCUUUGUGUCAUCACAGAUAGUGCAAAAAUAUAAAUUUAUGAAGUAGUUUAAUCUAUAGGAAAUAUAACAGUCUGCUUCCACAGACACAAAUUAGGCUUGGGUCUCGAAUAGUUUGUCUAAAUUAACAUAGGUAGUCAAACAUCAGUUCUAAACAUGAUCUGUGAGACAACUGCACCAUAUAAUGUGUGUAUGUAUUUAUUUUAAAAUAGUAAAAAAGAAGAUGAUUAUUAAAGACUACAGAAAAAAAUGUUCUGUAAGCUGGAAGUCAAACUGAAUGAAUAAAAAGAAAUAACUUAAUUUAAAGAGAAUGAGUCAUAGAUGAAGAAAGGAUACACUGGUCACANNNNNNNNNNNNNNNNNNNNNNNNNNNNNNNNNNNNNNNNNNNNNNNNNNNNNNNNNNNNNNNNNNNNNNNNNNNNNNNNNNNNNNNNNNNNNNNNNNNNNNNNNNNNNNNNNNNNNNNNNUUUGUAAUCUUUAUUAAACAUUUUAUUGGUAAAAUGUUUUAAUGUAUUAGUGUAUUUAACACUUGGUUUUACUGGGAACCUAGAUUUAAUGUAUUAAAUACAUAAUAUAGUCAAUAGUUAAUACAGCUCAGAAAGAUAUUUUCUGUUUCUUCACAAAGCAUCUUACCUUAACAUUAAUCUAUUAGCUUUAUUACCUGUAAAGCCUUAUCAUGGUAUAGUAUGUUCAAGCCUGUUUUCUGGCUCAUCACUACAGUUGCAGUGAUAGUUUGUCUGAUGUCUGCUUGUAAAAUGCAUGACUGGAAGGACUUAUUUGUGAACAAAGCCACAUUCCAUAUUCCAAAGCCUUAGAAUGUAGCACUUCUUUACAAAAGUUAAAAAUAAACAGUGCAAAAAUAUAAAAAAAAUCUUUUUGUGACUCUUACAUUAAUAAAGUAGUGAGAAAGAAAGUCCUUUUAAUGUGUUUUUCUUCAAGCAAAAAAAAGCCUUAGUGAGGUUAAGUGUUUUAACUUAACACAAACACAAACCAGAGGAUACCAGGGCAAACUACAGUAUAUGGACAUACUAAAACCAAGAACAGCAGAUGCUUCUUUACACAAAGGCUAGUGGGAGUAUGGAAAAAGCUGCCCAUCCAUGCAGUCAAAUCUGAUACCCUGACAAUCUUUCAAGAAAUGGCUGGAUGAGGUCCUCUGAACAUUUAGAUACAGACAAAAGGUGUAGGUGGGCCAGAUGAGCUCUCAUUUGUGACUGGUCUUAUGUUCUAAGAACUGGUCUUUUCUAAGUGGAAAAAGACUGUGGCUGCUUUAUGCCACAGUGCUCUCAACCUAAUAUUACACUUUUCCUCACUUAUGGUGAUAUUUGUAUCUGCAUUCGUAUACUUUGUUUGGAGUACCUGCUUUAUAAUAAUAAAAUGGCAUGUUUGAAUGUACAAUGACAUGGUUUGCUGGUACAAUCAUAAAUCAUGUUUCAUGUGAUGAAGAACUGGAGCAAAACAAUCCAUAAAACAAUACAUUUUAAAUAUGUGCAGCCACUAUCAAUGUUAUAUUUUUUUCUAAAUGCAAAAAACAAACAGAAAGCAUGAUACAAAUCUGAUAAAAAACUUUUAGAAUUUGUAAUUCAUGUUCUUUGUGUACAUUCAUGUUGUUAAUAGUCCAAUUUUAAUAUUUUUGUACUUUGC
This 3818-nucleotide long non-coding RNA is filed under the name Lepisosteus oculatus (spotted gar). RNAcentral describes it as "lncRNA (ENSLOCG00000021814.1)". The record is from RNAcentral. Lineage: Eukaryota; Metazoa; Chordata; Actinopteri; Semionotiformes; Lepisosteidae.